RNAcentral lists this ribosomal RNA (459 nucleotides) under uncultured bacterium. Its description in RNAcentral is "bacterial SSU rRNA". It matches the Rfam family "Bacterial small subunit ribosomal RNA", at positions 355 to 804 of the family's 1533-position model. The record is from RNAcentral.
UGGGGAAUUUUGGACAAUGGGCGCAAGCCUGAUCCAGCCAUGCCGCGUGUGGGAAGAAGGCCUUCGGGUUGUAAACCGCUUUUGUCAGGGAAGAAACGCUCUGGGCUAAUACCCUGGGGUAAUGACGGUACCUGAAGAAUAAGCACCGGCUAACUACGUGCCAGCAGCCGCGGUAAUACGUAGGGUGCAAGCGUUAAUCGGAAUUACUGGGCGUAAAGCGUGCGCAGGCGGUUAUGCAAGACAGAUGUGAAAUCCCCGGGCUCAACCUGGGAACUGCAUUUGUGACUGUAUAGCUAGAGUACGGUAGAGGGGGAUGGAAUUCCGCGUGUAGCAGUGAAAUGCGUAGAUAUGCGGAGGAACACCGAUGGCGAAGGCAAUCCCCUGGACCUGUACUGACGCUCAUGCACGAAAGCGUGGGGAGCAAACAGGAUUAGAUACCCUGGUAGUCCCUGAGCGGGC